RNAcentral lists this ribosomal RNA (852 nucleotides) under Escherichia coli. Its description in RNAcentral is "partial 23S ribosomal RNA". It matches the Rfam family "Bacterial large subunit ribosomal RNA", at positions 676 to 1529 of the family's 2925-position model. The record is from RNAcentral. Lineage: Bacteria; Pseudomonadati; Pseudomonadota; Gammaproteobacteria; Enterobacterales; Enterobacteriaceae.
ACCGAGUCUUAACUGGGCGUUAAGUUGCAGGGUAUAGACCCGAAACCCGGUGAUCUAGCCAUGGGCAGGUUGAAGGUUGGGUAACACUAACUGGAGGACCGAACCGACUAAUGUUGAAAAAUUAGCGGAUGACUUGUGGCUGGGGGUGAAAGGCCAAUCAAACCGGGAGAUAGCUGGUUCUCCCCGAAAGCUAUUUAGGUAGCGCCUCGUGAAUUCAUCUCCGGGGGUAGAGCACUGUUUCGGCAAGGGGGUCAUCCCGACUUACCAACCCGAUGCAAACUGCGAAUACCGGAGAAUGUUAUCACGGGAGACACACGGCGGGUGCUAACGUCCGUCGUGAAGAGGGAAACAACCCAGACCGCCAGCUAAGGUCCCAAAGUCAUGGUUAAGUGGGAAACGAUGUGGGAAGGCCCAGACAGCCAGGAUGUUGGCUUAGAAGCAGCCAUCAUUUAAAGAAAGCGUAAUAGCUCACUGGUCGAGUCGGCCUGCGCGGAAGAUGUAACGGGGCUAAACCAUGCACCGAAGCUGCGGCAGCGACGCUUAUGCGUUGUUGGGUAGGGGAGCGUUCUGUAAGCCUGCGAAGGUGUGCUGUGAGGCAUGCUGGAGGUAUCAGAAGUGCGAAUGCUGACAUAAGUAACGAUAAAGCGGGUGAAAAGCCCGCUCGCCGGAAGACCAAGGGUUCCUGUCCAACGUUAAUCGGGGCAGGGUGAGUCGACCCCUAAGGCGAGGCCGAAAGGCGUAGUCGAUGGGAAACAGGUUAAUAUUCCUGUACUUGGUGUUACUGCGAAGGGGGGACGGAGAAGGCUAUGUUGGCCGGGCGACGGUUGUCCCGGUUUAAGCGUGUAGGCUGGU